UUGUUUUGUUUGGACGCGUCUUUGACUACUUUUGUGAAAAUUUGUGUAAAUCGUGAAAAACACUUUACUUUGUGCAUUUUCCGGUUAAUUUUGUGAUAUUUAUCAUGCGUGCAUGCGUUUGUUGUAAAAUACGCUACCAAAAAGGAAACGGAAUAACUUUCCAUAAGUUUCCCACUGGUUCAGAUCAGCAGUUAUGGCUACAAAAUAUGAAAAUGGAAAAUUAUCAUCUUAAACCUAAUGAUCAUCUGUGUAGUAAGCAUUUUACAGAAGACUGUUUUGUGAGACAUGCUAGUCGUACCUCUUUACAACAAGGAAGUUUACCUACAAUUUUAAUUGACCCAACAAAUUGCAAUACAUCUAUAUUUGGGAAUAUGGACACCUCUACACCAAGUGUAUUGGUUAUAUCUGGAGACAAACAAAUAUUUAGUAUAGUUGGGCCAUUACAAACAUGCGAAUGAAGUCAUUAAUCAUUUUUAUCAGAUCUCUCUCUCACACUUAUUGGCAUAACGGAACUCUCCCUCUCACUGAUAGUGUUGUGUGCAACAAAAAAGGGAUUUGUUGAUAGUCAUUAGCAGAAGCAACUAUGAACACAUCGUCUAUUCUUGAAGAUGUGAUUACUGCGACACCGUGUGUAUAUGAGAAAGUAGGACUGAAAAUAAGAAAAUUAAGCAGCAUUGAUGACCAUCAAGAUGUUGCUGCAAUUGGAGAGGCAACCACUAUCAAACUUGAAAGGCUUGACACCAUUCCUGUUGUACAUGUUAAAGUUGAGCAUGAUGACCAGUAUGAAAAUAUACAAUGCAGACCUAUCUCCGAAGUUUGUUCAAAUAUAAGACAUGAUCACCACUAUGAAAAUACUACCAAGUGUUCAAAAAAAUCGAUGCAGCGAGUCAAAAGAUCUCUCAGUCUAUCACGUGCGCGUGUGAAAGUUUUAACACAACAUGUUAAAAGGUUGAAGAUCCGUGUGUCUUCUUUAAAAACUAUAAUAUCAAAUCUAAAAAAAAACAAAAUGGUUGGUGAUGACACUAUGAACAUGUUAGAUCAAUAUCACGAUUUUCGAUUACAAUUAAAUCAGCAGAUGUUAAACUAUUAGUAGAUACAAGGCGUUGAGUACGACAGUCGGGAAGAUAGCUACCACGCGUGAGUCGAGUUCGGAAAUUCAGUGAUCAUUUUUUAUGGGCGUAGCCUAUUGUAACAAUUUACAUAGUCAUCCCUUUUACAUUAUACUUACCGUUUAAUGAUGGAGAUUUCUCCCCCGGAACCUGCGGAUAUUCCCACACUCGCCGGGUCAAAACGGCGUAUACAUACAAGCAGCUCAGAAGAAAACGCUGCAAAAAAAACUAUAACUGAUACGGAUCUGGCUUCUGCCUCCAUUCAGAAUGUAUAUUGUGACCCAAGUUUAGUUAUUGGUUGUAAACAAUAUACGGAUUUUGAUAAA
Long non-coding RNA from Leptidea sinapis, 1435 nucleotides. RefSeq lists it as uncharacterized. Lineage: Eukaryota; Metazoa; Arthropoda; Insecta; Lepidoptera; Pieridae. The record is from RefSeq and is a predicted model, not a curated record. The transcript is spliced from 5 exons.